GCCUAGUUAGCUUAGUUGAUAGUGCGUCUGCCUUGUAAGCGCUAGGCCGCGGAUUCGAUUCCCGCCCGGGGCG
RNAcentral lists this transfer RNA (73 nucleotides) under Diaphorina citri (Asian citrus psyllid). It matches the Rfam family "tRNA". Rfam says of the family: Transfer RNA (tRNA) molecules are approximately 80 nucleotides in length. Their secondary structure includes four short double-helical elements and three loops (D, anti-codon, and T loops). The record is from Rfam by way of RNAcentral. Lineage: Eukaryota; Metazoa; Arthropoda; Insecta; Hemiptera; Psyllidae.